RNAcentral lists this small RNA (846 nucleotides) under Pan troglodytes (chimpanzee). RNAcentral's name for it is "retained intron". The record is from RNAcentral. Lineage: Eukaryota; Metazoa; Chordata; Mammalia; Primates; Hominidae.
AGCUCAAGUGUACAGUUGAAGGUUGUGACCGGACAUUUGUAUGGCCAGCUCACUUUAAAUACCACCUCAAGACUCAUCGAAAUGACCGCUCCUUCAUCUGUCCUGCAGAAGGUUGUGGGAAAAGCUUCUAUGUGCUGCAGAGGCUGAAGGUGCACAUGAGGACCCACAAUGGAGAGAAGCCCUUUAUGUGCCAUGAGUCUGGCUGUGGUAAGCAGUUUACUACAGCUGGAAACCUGAAGAACCACCGGCGCAUCCACACAGGAGAGAAACCUUUCCUUUGUGAAGCCCAAGGAUGUGGCCGUUCCUUUGCUGAGUAUUCUAGCCUCCGAAAACAUCUGGUGGUUCACUCAGCUGAGCCACUGAUGGGCAGUAGUUUGCUUGAAGAGGCUUCAGUACCCAGUAAAAACCUGGUGUCUGUGAAUUCCCAGCCCAGCCUUGGUGGAGAGUCCUUGAACCUACCAAAUACCAAUUCUAUCCUGGGAGUUGAUGAUGUUAUGGAAGAACUUAACUUUUAAAACAUUUAAACAGAACAUAACCAGGUUUUACAGAGGAGAUAUAAAGCAAUUUCUCCAUACCUUCAAAAGCCAUAUCUUCUGGAGAAAAGAAAGGGCUCUCUAGGAAACACUUGCUCCUCUCUGGUAUAGAAAUUUCACCCAAGUUACACAGGCCAGGCCCUCUUCUCUGAAAAACUUAACAGGUGAGGUCAGCAUGCAUUUAUUCAGUGCCUACUGUGUGCCUGGCACCAUGGGAAAGACAAAAGUAGAAGAUAGGGACCUUAAAAUCCAGUUGAGAAGUGAAAGCUUACAUAUAUAUGGGAAAGAACAUUGAGUACAUAAAAGAUAGUAU